ACAGCAGCAGCCGCGGUAACACGGAGGGGGCUAGCGUUGUUCGGAAUUACUGGGCGUAAAGCGCACGUAGGCGGCUUUGUAAGUCAGAGGUGAAAGCCCGGGGCUCAACCCCGGAAUUGCCUUUGAGACUGCAUCGCUUGAAUCCAGGAGAGGUAAGUGGAAUUCCGAGUGUAGAGGUGAAAUUCGUAGAUAUUCGGAAGAACACCAGUGGCGAAGGCGGCUCACUGGACUGGUAUUGACGCUGAGGUGCGAAAGCGUGGGGAGCAAACAGGAUUAGAUACCCGCGUAGUCCCUGUCUCUUAUAC
This 305-nucleotide ribosomal RNA is filed under the name uncultured bacterium. RNAcentral's name for it is "partial 16S ribosomal RNA". It matches the Rfam family "Bacterial small subunit ribosomal RNA", at positions 505 to 807 of the family's 1533-position model. The record is from RNAcentral.